GUGGGGAAUCUUGCGCAAUGGGCGAAAGCCUGACGCAGCCAUGCCGCGUGAAUGAUGAAGGUCUUAGGAUUGUAAAAUUCUUUCACCGGGGACGAUAAUGACGGUACCCGGAGAAGAAGCUCCGGCUAACUUCGUGCCAGCAGCCGCGGUAAUACGAAGGGGGCUAGCGUUGCUCGGAAUUACUGGGCGUAAAGGGAGCGUAGGCGGACAGCUUAGUCAGAGGUGAAAGCCCAGGGCUCAACCUUGGAAUUGCCUUUGAUACUGGCUGUCUUGAGUUUGGGAGAGGUAAGUGGAACUCCUAGUGUAGAGGUGAAAUUCGUAGAUAUUCGGAAGAACACCAGUGGCGAAGGCGACUCACUGGCCCAAUACUGACGCUGAGGCGCGAAAGCGUGGGGAGCAAACAGGAUUAGAAACCCGUGUAGUCC
RNAcentral lists this ribosomal RNA (425 nucleotides) under uncultured bacterium. Its description in RNAcentral is "partial 16S ribosomal RNA". It matches the Rfam family "Bacterial small subunit ribosomal RNA", at positions 354 to 796 of the family's 1533-position model. The record is from RNAcentral.